RNAcentral lists this ribosomal RNA (460 nucleotides) under uncultured bacterium. RNAcentral describes it as "partial 16S ribosomal RNA". It matches the Rfam family "Bacterial small subunit ribosomal RNA", at positions 338 to 795 of the family's 1533-position model. The record is from RNAcentral.
CCUACGGGUGGCAGCAGUGAGGAAUAUUGGUCAAUGGGCGCGAGCCUGAACCAGCCAAGUAGCGUGAAGGAUGACUGCCCUACGGGUUGUAAACUUCUUUUAUAAAGGAAUUAAGUGCGGCACGUGUCACUUUUUGAAUGUCUUUUAUCAUUCAGGAUCGGGUAACUCCGUGCCAGCAGCCGCGGUAAUACGGAGGCUCCGAGCGUUAUCCGGAUUUAUUGGGUUUAAAGGGAGCGUAGAUGGGUUGUUAAGUCAGUUGUGAAAGUUUGCGGCUCAACCGUAAAAUUGCAAUUGAUACUGGCAGCCUGGAGUACAGUUGAGGUAGGUGGAAUUCGUGGUGUAGCGGUGAAAUGCUUAGAGAUCAAGAAGAAUUCCGAUUGCGAAGGCAGCCUACUAAACUGCCACUGACAUUGAUGCUCGAAAGUGUGGGUAUCAAACAGGAUUAGAUACCCGAGUAGUC